UUUAAAGUAUAGCCUGCCCCCUGAGUAGUUAAAUGGCUGCGGUAAUUUGACCGUGCAAAGGUAGCAUAAUAACUAGUUUUUUAAUUGAAAGCUUGAAUGAAAGGUUGGACGAGAAAAAAACUGUCUCUAUUUAAUUUAAUUAGAAUUUUAUUUUUAAGUAAGAAGGCUUAAAUAAAUUUGAAAGACGAGAAGACCCUAUAGAAUUUUAUAUUUAUUAUAGUAUUGGGAUGUAAGGAAUAUUUGGUUUUGAUACUAUAUUAAAUAUUUUGUUGGGGCGAUAGAAAAAUUUAAAUAACUUUUUUUAAAUUUAUCCAUUGAUUUAUGAGUAAGUGAUCCAUAUUUUAUGAUUAUAAGAUUAAAUUACCUUAGGGAUAACAGCGUAAUCUUUUUUAAGAGUUCUUAUCGAAAAAAAGGGUUGCGACCUCGAUGUUGGAUUAAAAUUAACUUUUGGUGUAGGAGCUAAAACGUUAGGUCUGUUCGACCUUUAAAAUUUUACA
This 497-nucleotide ribosomal RNA is filed under the name Pygopleurus syriacus. RNAcentral describes it as "partial 16S large subunit ribosomal RNA". It matches the Rfam family "Bacterial large subunit ribosomal RNA", at positions 1893 to 2600 of the family's 2925-position model. Lineage: Eukaryota; Metazoa; Arthropoda; Insecta; Coleoptera; Glaphyridae. The record is from RNAcentral.